Molecule: transfer RNA, 74 nt
Filed under: Bacteroidales bacterium
Lineage: Bacteria; Pseudomonadati; Bacteroidota; Bacteroidia; Bacteroidales
Description: tRNA-Arg
Rfam family: tRNA
About the family: Transfer RNA (tRNA) molecules are approximately 80 nucleotides in length.
Source: RNAcentral
GGUUCCAUAGCUCAGCUGGAUAGAGCAACUGCCUUCUAAGCAGUAGGUCAUUGGUUCGAACCCAAUUGGAAUCA